GGGGAAUAUUGGACAAUGGGCGCAAGCCUGAUCCAGCCAUGCCGCGUGUGUGAAGAAGGCCUUAGGGUUGUAAAGCACUUUCAGUGGUGAGGAAGGCGUUGUAGUUAAUAGCUGCAACGAUUGACGUUAGCCACAGAAGAAGCACCGGCUAACUCCGUGCCAGCAGCCGCGGUAAUACGGAGGGUGCGAGCGUUAAUCGGAAUUACUGGGCGUAAAGCGCACGUAGGCGGCUUGUUAAGCAAGAUGUGAAAGCCCAGGGCUCAACCUUGGAAUUGCAUUUUGAACUGGCAAGCUAGAGUUUUGAAGAGGGUGGUAGAAUUUCCAGUGUAGCGGUGAAAUGCGUAGAUAUUGGAAGGAAUACCAGUGGCGAAGGCGGCCACCUGGUCAAAAACUGACGCUGAGGAGCGAAAGCGUGGGGAGCAAAC
RNAcentral lists this ribosomal RNA (425 nucleotides) under uncultured bacterium. RNAcentral's name for it is "bacterial SSU rRNA". It matches the Rfam family "Bacterial small subunit ribosomal RNA", at positions 356 to 773 of the family's 1533-position model. The record is from RNAcentral.